Long non-coding RNA from Clarias gariepinus (North African catfish), 592 nucleotides. RefSeq lists it as uncharacterized. The record is from RefSeq and is a predicted model, not a curated record. The transcript has 6 exons. NCBI's taxonomy places the organism in Eukaryota, Metazoa, Chordata, Actinopteri, Siluriformes, Clariidae.
GAAGUUGUCAUAAGAACUCGGAAUACUGAGCCAAUAAGACCCAGGCAUACAAGCACACCAGAAGAACGUAUUAAUAAUAAAAUUGAUGUGGAACCAUCGCCAGGAAGUGUUGUAGAGAUAAUGCUCUCAGAUUCAGAGGAUGACCGUCCAAGUAUUUCAGACCACGUUGCAAAAGAAAACCAAUGUUACAGAGAAUACAUGGACGUGUAUGCACCUGUGAUUACUGAAGAGGAUGAUGAGCUUGUAGCCACAGCACAAUGUCUUGACCUCCCAGAGCCAAUAGAGGUACAAGGCAGUUUAACAGCUCCUGACAUUAUUUCAAAUCUGGCUCUUGCCAUUGAUCGAAAACGUGUCAGCAGAUUUAACAUCAUGAGAUCCAAUGUGUGGGAUGGGGCAGUCAGAGGAUUUAAACGUGUCUCAUACUCAGAAUUCACUGACAUGUUUGUUAAGUUCUCUGAUGAUGCUGGCACAUUUGAAGAGGGUCUUGAUACAGGUGGACCAAGACGUGAACUUCUUACUUUGCUGAUGAGCUGCCUACAGUAUCGCCCCAUUUUUGAUGGACCUCCCAGUAGUCGUUACCUGGUAUACAAUU